CCUAAAAUCUAGCCCAACCAACACGAAUAUUACUAUAUUAAUUUAAAUCUCUUAAUAAAUCAUUCUAUUAUUUUAGUAAAGGAGAUUGAAAAAUUUUUCUGGAGCUAUAACAAUAGUACCGCAAGGGAAGGACGAAAUAUAUAAUGAAAAAUUUUAAGCAUAAAAAAGUAAAGACUUCCCCUUGUACCUUUUGCAUCAUGGUUUAACUAGUCUAACCAAGCAAAACGAAUUUGAGUUUGGCCCCCCGAAACUAAGUGAGCUACUUCAGGGCAGCUAAUAGAGCAAACCCGUCCCUGUAGCAAAAGAGUGGGAUGACCCUUAAGUAGCGGUGACAGACCUAACGAACUUAGUGAUAGCUGGUUACUCAGAAAAUGGACCUAAGUCCAACCUGAAGUUUAACUUAGUUUAUUAAAACAACUACUCAUCUUCAGCGUAAUUCAAAUAAGGUACAGCCUAUUUGAAACAGGAUACAACCUAGGCUUAUGGAUAAAACCAGCUGAACAAACAACCAAGUGGGCCUAAAAGCAGCCAUCUUUUAAAUUGCGUCAAAGCUUAAUUGUCUCCGUGCCUGAUACCCAAAUUAUCAUUUUAAUCCUUCACCUAUACUGAGUAAUUCUAUAUAACUAUAGAAAUUUUUAUGUUAAAACUAGUAACAAGAAGAAGACCCUUCUCUUAAAUGUAAGCGUAAAUCAGAAAGGACAAACCACUGAUACUUAACACCAUUGAGCUCAGAACAGUAACUAAUCAAGAAAACCCUGUUUUAACUUAUGUUAACCUGACACAAGAACAUUUUAAGAAAGAUUAAAAGAAAAAGAAGGAACUCGGCAAAUAUUAACCUCGCCUGUUUACCAAAAACAUCGCCUCUUGAAUUCGUAUAAGAGGUCCAGCCUGCCCAGUGACUCUGUUUAACGGCCGCGGUAUCCUAACCGUGCGAAGGUAGCGUAAUCACUUGUUCUUUAAAUGAGGACUAGUAUGAAUGGCACCACGAGGGUUAUACUGUCUCCCUUUUCUAAUCAGUGAAACUAAUCUCCCCGUGAAGAAGCGGGGAUAAAAAUAUAAGACGAGAAGACCCUAUGGAGCUUUAAACUAUAUAGCACUUACUACCAAUUUUACAACUCACGAGUUCCUUCCAUAUCAGCUACUAUGACUAUAAGUUUUUGGUUGGGGUGACCACGGAGCACAACAUAACCUCCAUGUUGAAGGAAUUUAUUUCUAAGCCAAGAGCCACACCUCUAAGAAUCAAUAUCUUGACAUCAAUUGACCCAAUAUACUUGAUCAACGAACCAAGUUACCCUAGGGAUAACAGCGCAAUCUACUUCAAGAGCCCCUAUCGACAAGUGGGUUUACGACCUCGAUGUUGGAUCAGGGUCCCCCAGUGGUGCAGCC
Molecule: ribosomal RNA, 1386 nt
Filed under: Ingerophrynus biporcatus (Sunda ridge-headed toad)
Lineage: Eukaryota; Metazoa; Chordata; Amphibia; Anura; Bufonidae
Description: partial 16S ribosomal RNA
Rfam family: Bacterial large subunit ribosomal RNA
Source: RNAcentral